GAUGAACGCUGGCGGCGUGCCUAAUACAUGCAAGUCGAGCGAACAGAUGAGGAGCUUGCUCCUCUGACGUUAGCGGCGGACGGGUGAGUAACACGUGGAUAACCUACCUAUAAGACUGGGAUAACUUCGGGAAACCGGAGCUAAUACCGGAUAAUAUAUUGAACCGCAUGGUUCAAUAGUGAAAGACGGUUUUGCUGUCACUUAUAGAUGGAUCCGCGCCGCAUUAGCUAGUUGGUAAGGUAACGGCUUACCAAGGCAACGAUGCGUAGCCGACCUGAGAGGGUGAUCGGCCACACGGGAACUGAGACACGGUCCAGACUCCUACGGGAGGCAGCAGUAGGGAAUCUUCCGCAAUGGGCGAAAGCCUGACGGAGCAACGCCGCGUGAGUGAUGAAGGUGUUCGGAGCGUAAAACUCUGUUAUUAGGGAAGAACAAAUGUGUAAGUAACUAUGCACGUCUUGACGGUACCUAAUCAGAAAGCCACGGCUAACUACGUG
This 497-nucleotide ribosomal RNA is filed under the name uncultured bacterium. RNAcentral describes it as "partial 16S ribosomal RNA". It matches the Rfam family "Bacterial small subunit ribosomal RNA", at positions 28 to 507 of the family's 1533-position model. The record is from RNAcentral.